This 799-nucleotide ribosomal RNA is filed under the name uncultured archaeon. Its description in RNAcentral is "bacterial SSU rRNA". It matches the Rfam family "Archaeal small subunit ribosomal RNA", at positions 85 to 882 of the family's 1478-position model. The record is from RNAcentral.
ACGGCUCAGUAACACGUGGAUAACCUGCCCUUGGGUCCGGCAUAACCCCGGGAAACUGGGGAUAAUUCCGGAUAACGCACAUAUGCUGGAAUGCUUUGUGCGUAAAAUGGAUUCGUCUGCCCAAGGAUGGGUCUGCGGCCUAUCAGGUAGUAGUGGGUGUAAUGUACCUACUAGCCUACAACGGGUACGGGUUGUGAGAGCAAGAGCCCGGAGAUGGAUUCUGAGACAUGAAUCCAGGCCCUACGGGGCGCAGCAGGCGCGAAAACUUUACAAUGCGGGAAACCGUGAUAAGGGGACACCGAGUGCCAGCAUCAUAUGCUGGCUGUCCAGGUGUGUAAAAUACACCUGUUAGCAAGGGCCGGGCAAGACCGGUGCCAGCCGCCGCGGUAACACCGGCGGCCCGAGUGGUGAUCGUGAUUAUUGGGUCUAAAGGGUCCGUAGCCGGUUUGGUCAGUCCUCCGGGAAAUCUGAUAGCUCAACUAUUAGGCUAUCGGGGGAUACUACCAGACUUGGAACCGGGAGAGGUAAGAGGUACUACAGGGGUAGGAGUGAAAUCUUGUAAUCCCUGUGGGACCACCUGUGGCGAAGGCGUCUUACCAGAACGGGUUCGACGGUGAGGGACGAAAGCUUGGGGCACGAACCGGAUUAGAUACCCGGGUAGUCCCAGCCGUAAACGAUGCUCGCUAGGUGUCAGGCAUGGCGCGACCGUGUCUGGUGCCGCAGGGAAGCCGUGAAGCGAGCCACCUGGGAAGUACGGCCGCAAGGCUGAAACUUAAAGGAAUUGGCGGGGGAGCACAAU